This 586-nucleotide long non-coding RNA is filed under the name Mus spicilegus (steppe mouse). Its description in RNAcentral is "lncRNA (ENSMSIG00000021412.1)". The record is from RNAcentral. Lineage: Eukaryota; Metazoa; Chordata; Mammalia; Rodentia; Muridae.
CGGACAGUCGUGAUAACCCGGCACAGAAGCAGAGUCGCAUUUCGGAGCGUCCACUCGUAACACGGCUUCUCGCACACGAAGCCCAUAGUCCAGGGGAGAGAAGGCCAGGGCGGCCCUGGAGAGUUUGUAGGUGCAGGCUGAUCGGCGGUGGAGACCCUGUCGGGCUCAGGAAGGCACUGUUCUUUCAUCAUUUCCUUCCCAGCAUGCACUUGUACAUGCUGUACACUCCACUCUCUUCAUUACCACAACAGGACUACAAAAUCUUUAGAGGAUGAACAGCCAAACAAGGUGACUUACCGCCUGCCAGGAGAGCUUAUUAAAGGAUUUCAUUUCUUGAGCAUCCAGCUCUGUGUCCUGGGGCCUUUGCAAACCAACUCAGCACUACAGAAAAACAAGUCCACCAAUGAAAUGCUUUGAAAGCUGUGAUGGCAAGCUGGGAAAAACAGUGGCUCUUACAGUUAACCAUGGCAUAGGAAGGUCACCUUUUCAUCCUAGUGCUAACACCCAGCUGGAGUGGCAGUAUUACUGGAAUAAAAUCCUGAAAGGAAAAGCAGCUGUGCAGUUUCAUUAGGCAUCGGGUCAACGA